UACUAUGUUAAGCAAAAAAUAAACCACAC
Molecule: non-coding RNA, 29 nt
Filed under: Mus musculus (house mouse)
Lineage: Eukaryota; Metazoa; Chordata; Mammalia; Rodentia; Muridae
Source: RNAcentral